UCCGGCUUAUCACCGGCGGUCCCUCUAGAGUGCCCAACUAAAUGAUGGCAACUAAAGGCGAGGGUUGCGCUCGUUGCGGGACUUAACCCAACAUCUCACGACACGAGCUGACGACAGCCAUGCAGCACCUGUGUGCAAGUCACCGAAGUGAAGGAAUCCAUCUCUGGAAACCGUCCUGCCAUGUCAAGGGCUGGUAAGGUUCUUCGCGUUGCGUCGAAUUAAACCACACGCUCCGCUGCUUGUGCGGGCCCCCGCCUAUUCCUUUGAGUUUUAAUCUUGCGACCGUACUCCCCAGGCGGAAUGCUUAAAGCGUUAGCUGCGCCACUGACGAGCAAGCUCGCCAACGGCUAGCAUUCAUCGUUUACGGCGUGGACUAC
RNAcentral lists this unclassified non-coding RNA (377 nucleotides) under uncultured Alphaproteobacteria bacterium. RNAcentral's name for it is "contains 16S-23S intergenic spacer region". The record is from RNAcentral. Lineage: Bacteria; Pseudomonadati; Pseudomonadota; Alphaproteobacteria.